RNAcentral lists this ribosomal RNA (253 nucleotides) under uncultured bacterium. Its description in RNAcentral is "partial 16S ribosomal RNA". It matches the Rfam family "Bacterial small subunit ribosomal RNA", at positions 524 to 776 of the family's 1533-position model. The record is from RNAcentral.
UACAGAGGGUGCGAGCGUUAAUCGGCAUUACUGGGCGUAAAGCGCGCGUAGACGGUUUUGUAAGUCAGAUGUGAAAUCCCUGGGCUCAACCUGGGAACUGCAUUUGAGACUGCAUGGCUAGAGUAUGGAAGAGGGAAGUGGAAUUUCCGGUGUAGCGGUGAAAUGCGUAGAUAUCGGAAGGAACUCCAGUGGCGAAAGCGACUUCCUGGUCCAAUACUGUCGUUCAUGUGCGUAAGCGUGGGGAGCCAACAGG